GCAUGGGCUCCAGGAAGAGGCUGGGAGGUCAGGGGAGAGGCCUGUCGGCACUUGAUGGAUGGUACUGAAGAAAUGUCUGGCACUUUCUUUCCCCAUGGGGGAGGUAAGGCCACAGGCACCUCUCCCCCGCAUUCCUGCCUGCCUGCCUGCCUAGGAGGGGGGUUGGGUUGGGUAGCCUGAGCAGGGCAAGGAGGGUCCAGAGCCCAGCAGAGAGGCAUUUCGCAAACUCACAUUUGUCUGCACUAGCAUAGGGAGUGGAGGGGCAGGUAGACAAUCCUCAAAUCUCAAGUGAGUUUAAAAUGGACCCGCAUGUUCCCACUUCUAGCUCCCAGAUCUCACCAACUGGGUGCACACUAAUCGUGUUACCCGUGCUAUCCAUGCUGGGAGGGUAGCUACGUGUGCACCACAGAUCAUGUAGUCCCUGGAGGCAUAGUGGAGGUUCGGGCCCACUGAUUUUCACAACACUAGCACAUCUGGCUUUGGAGGUAUGUUGACAUUGGUACAGCAAGUGGAGAAGCAGUGGGGUUAACCCUGUCCCCUUCAUUUAACAUCCAGACAGUGGUAAACUCCUUGCCCCCCCUUCCCUACCACGUGGUGAAAAGGGCAGUUUCUCUCAAGCAUGUCCUUGAUAAAGUAGUACAAAAUUAGUAUGUGAUACUGUUAUCAUUGUUAUCCAAAAUGAAUUCAUAAAGGUUUCUUUUCUCUUAGUUGUUGUUCUAAUUCCUAAUGCACCAACAAGAGCUCCUUAGGGCUCUCCAUGAAGUCUCCACUAGGCUCUGCUAUGGUCUCCUCAAAGUGGAAGAUAACCACAGCCCUUUCCAGAUCUCCAGUUCCCAGCUUGAGAAAUGGUCCUCUGGAAACCAAGGGUGGAGCUCGAGGCCGUGUCGCACGAGGCCGUGUUGCAAACUUCUUUUUCAAGAAGAGAUGCUGCCACGGGAAUAAAGACUUUAAUGGUGUCUGUGUAAGGGGCAGUGAGGCAUGCAGGCCUAGCGUCUCCCCCACAAGUCUGUAUUCACUGCAGGGUGGAGGGUGGGUGGCAGGGACAGGGUGGAGCUGGAGGGAGUAGCUGUGGCCCUCAGGGGCCAGUGCCAGAUCUGGUUUCCCCCACCCCCUCCAUUCACCUCCUAGUCUCUUUUCACUUUCCCACCCAGGUGCUAAUUUCUCUCCCCCAUAAGUCACAGUGUAGCAAGGCUGAGGAGCGAAGAUCAGGACUCUGUGUCUCUGCCUGAGCACACGUAGAGUGAGGUGAGCACAGUGUUCC
Long non-coding RNA from Octodon degus (degu), 1261 nucleotides. RefSeq lists it as uncharacterized. The transcript is spliced from 4 exons. The record is from RefSeq and is a predicted model, not a curated record. NCBI's taxonomy places the organism in Eukaryota, Metazoa, Chordata, Mammalia, Rodentia, Octodontidae.